CUGCCCGCGUGGCGCAGUUGGUAAGACUGUUACCCAAGGUAGCACUGUUAGAUGUGCUGUAGGUUCGAAUCCUGCCGCUGGCAAGGUCCCAUUUUGGGCCACUUCUUACCCAUGAAGGCCCCUGUGACCAGGGGCCAAGCCUAGUGAGGCAGUGCUGACAGAGGUGCUGCUUGGCAGUGGUGAGGGUGGUGGCCACUGGAAGCCACACUCAUUAGUGCCAAGCAGCCCCCCUGUCACUAGUGCUGAUCUAAGCAAGAUCCGAUGAUUACAGAGGGUCGAGUAUAGGGUGCUUAUACAUACUAGCACCUGCCAAGGCCCCCGGCAUCUAGGGGGCCACCCCAACAACAGGGAAUGAUUUUAAAAACCAUCCAAUUGGCUGCCUCAUCAGAGGGGUAGUAGCAAGCCAAGCAGGACACCCUGGUAGACACCCUAUUCAGGGCCCACUAGUGGUCAUCUAACACUAUUAGUGGGUUAUCAUCAGGUGGGGUAAGCCUAUGGUUAGUCCCUUACACAGGGCAAGGCCACGACGGCCGGUUGGUAGGCCAAGGGGGCAAUGGGCCGAGAUCAGCAACUGGAAGCUCUGGGCUAUGGUGAUGCCUAGGGUGGGCAGUGGCGCUUAACUAGGACCCCCGCUGGAAACCCCAGAACUAGUUAAAGCGGCCCGAGAGGACAGACGCGGUGGUCGGUUGGUUAUAGGGGUUAUAAUAUGUAACUAGC
Molecule: small RNA, 717 nt
Filed under: Histoplasma ohiense
Lineage: Eukaryota; Fungi; Ascomycota; Eurotiomycetes; Onygenales; Ajellomycetaceae
Description: hypothetical lncRNA
Source: RNAcentral